GCGCCCGUAGUUUAGAGGUAGAAUGCUGGCCUUCCAAGCCAGGGGCCCGGGUUCGAAUCCCGGCGGGCGCA
This 71-nucleotide transfer RNA is filed under the name Nautiliaceae bacterium. RNAcentral's name for it is "tRNA-Gly". It matches the Rfam family "tRNA". From Rfam's summary of the family: Transfer RNA (tRNA) molecules are approximately 80 nucleotides in length. Their secondary structure includes four short double-helical elements and three loops (D, anti-codon, and T loops). Further hydrogen bonds mediate the characteristic L-shaped molecular structure. tRNAs have two regions of fundamental functional importance: the anti-codon, which is responsible for specific mRNA codon recognition, and the 3' end, to which the tRNAs corresponding amino acid is attached (by aminoacyl-tRNA synthetases). tRNAs cope with the degeneracy of the genetic code in two manners: having more than one tRNA (with a specific anti-codon) for a particular amino acid; and 'wobble' base-pairing, i.e. permitting non-standard base-pairing at the 3rd anti-codon position. The record is from RNAcentral. Lineage: Bacteria; Pseudomonadati; Campylobacterota; Epsilonproteobacteria; Nautiliales; Nautiliaceae.